GGGGUUAGAGCUCAGUGGUAGAGUGCAUGCUUGGCAUGCACGAGGUCCUGGGUUCAAUCACCAAUGCCUCCG
RNAcentral lists this transfer RNA (72 nucleotides) under Camelus bactrianus (Bactrian camel). It matches the Rfam family "tRNA". From Rfam's summary of the family: Transfer RNA (tRNA) molecules are approximately 80 nucleotides in length. Their secondary structure includes four short double-helical elements and three loops (D, anti-codon, and T loops). Lineage: Eukaryota; Metazoa; Chordata; Mammalia; Artiodactyla; Camelidae. The record is from Rfam by way of RNAcentral. RNAcentral also lists the same sequence under 1 other name.